UACAGAGGUCCCGAGCGUUGUUCGGAUUCAUUGGGCGUAAAGGGUGCGUAGGCGGUUUUUUAAGUUUGAUGUGAAAUCCUGGGGCUCAACCCUGGAACUGCAUUGAAUACUGAAGAACUGGAGUACUGGAGAGGAAACUGGAAUUUACGGUGUAGCAGUGAAAUGCGUAGAGAUCGUAAGGAAGACCAGUGGCGAAGGCGAGUUUCUGGACAGUUACUGACGCUGAGGCACGAAGGCCAGGGGAGCAAACGGG
RNAcentral lists this ribosomal RNA (253 nucleotides) under uncultured bacterium. RNAcentral describes it as "partial 16S ribosomal RNA". It matches the Rfam family "Bacterial small subunit ribosomal RNA", at positions 524 to 776 of the family's 1533-position model. The record is from RNAcentral.